UACGAAGGGGCGAGCGUUGUUCGGAUUUACUGGGCGUAAAGGGUGCGUAGGUGGCGCCAUAAGUCAGGUGUGAAAUCUCGGAGCUCAACUCCGAAACUGCACUUGAUACUGUGGUGCUGGAGUACUGGAGAGGAGAUUGGAAUUUACGGUGUAGCAGUGAAAUGCGUAGAUAUCGUAAGGAAGACCAGUGGCGAAGGCGAAUCUCUGGACAGUUACUGACACUGAGGCACGAAGGCCAGGGGAGCAAACGGG
This 252-nucleotide ribosomal RNA is filed under the name uncultured bacterium. RNAcentral describes it as "partial 16S ribosomal RNA". It matches the Rfam family "Bacterial small subunit ribosomal RNA", at positions 524 to 776 of the family's 1533-position model. The record is from RNAcentral.